GCUGACAUAGUAUAACGGUUCAAUUAUUUCGGUUUCGUAAUCCGAAGAUAUCAGUUCAAUUCUGAUUGUCAGCUC
Molecule: transfer RNA, 75 nt
Filed under: Ignavibacteriaceae bacterium
Lineage: Bacteria; Pseudomonadati; Ignavibacteriota; Ignavibacteria; Ignavibacteriales; Ignavibacteriaceae
Description: tRNA-Thr
Rfam family: tRNA
About the family: Transfer RNA (tRNA) molecules are approximately 80 nucleotides in length. Their secondary structure includes four short double-helical elements and three loops (D, anti-codon, and T loops).
Source: RNAcentral